This 350-nucleotide unclassified non-coding RNA is filed under the name Hevea brasiliensis (rubber tree). Lineage: Eukaryota; Viridiplantae; Streptophyta; Magnoliopsida; Malpighiales; Euphorbiaceae. The record is from RNAcentral.
AGGCAGUAACAGGGUGAGCAGGGACGGUCUUGAAGGCAAAGAAUCGUCUCUAUUUUAUGACUAUGUUCGGAUACUGGACUUAGUCAAGUCCAUAAUGUCUAGACAGAGAUAGUAUGACAGAAAUUCGUUCUAGCUUCAGAUUUUUAGUUAUCUUUCAAAAUUAUGAAACAUUACAUUAAGGGAUAAAGCCAUCACAUAAAAUUUCUGGCUUAAGAUUCUACAUCGACUGGUCUCCUACAAUACCAGUUGAUGAGCAUUCUAUUUCGCUUUGAAGCGAAAACAAACAUGAAGUGUAAAGUACAUUGUUACUAUUAGUUAUUGGCCUAACAUGCCAUUUCAGUUGAUGAGCA